GAGCAGUAGGGAAUUUUCGGCAAUGGGCGCAAGCCUGACCGAGCAACGCCGCGUGAGUGAUGAAGGCCUUCGGGUUGUAAAACUCUGUUGUAAGGGAAGAACAAUCAAGAUAGGAAAUGAUCUUGUUCUGACGGUACCUUACCAGAAAGCCACGGCUAACUACGUGCCAGCAGCCGCGGUAAUACGUAGGUGGCAAGCGUUAUCCGGAAUUAUUGGGCGUAAAGGGUGCGUAGGUGGUUUAUCAGGUCUGAAGUAAAAGUGCGGGGCUCAACUCCGUAUUGCCAUAGAAACUGAUAGACUUGAGUGUAGGAGGGGGCAAUGGAAUUCCAUGUGUAGCGGUAAAAUGCGUAGAUAUAUGGAGGAACACCAGUGGCGAAGGCGGUUGCCUGGCCUACUACUGACACUGAGGCACGAAAGCGUGGGGAGCAAAUAGGAUUAGAUACCCUAGUAGUCCACGCUGUGAACGAUGAAUACUAAGUAUUGGAGAAAGUCAGUGCUGCAGCUAACGCAA
This 511-nucleotide ribosomal RNA is filed under the name uncultured bacterium. RNAcentral describes it as "bacterial SSU rRNA". It matches the Rfam family "Bacterial small subunit ribosomal RNA", at positions 349 to 860 of the family's 1533-position model. The record is from RNAcentral.